This 75-nucleotide transfer RNA is filed under the name Minisyncoccota bacterium. RNAcentral's name for it is "tRNA-Glu". It matches the Rfam family "tRNA". Rfam says of the family: Transfer RNA (tRNA) molecules are approximately 80 nucleotides in length. Their secondary structure includes four short double-helical elements and three loops (D, anti-codon, and T loops). The record is from RNAcentral. Lineage: Bacteria; Bacillati; Minisyncoccota.
GGCCCUAUCGUCUAACGGUUAGGACAUAUCCUUCUCAAGGAUAGAAUCGCGGUUCGAUUCCGCGUAGGGUCACCA